This 253-nucleotide ribosomal RNA is filed under the name uncultured bacterium. RNAcentral's name for it is "partial 16S ribosomal RNA". It matches the Rfam family "Bacterial small subunit ribosomal RNA", at positions 524 to 776 of the family's 1533-position model. The record is from RNAcentral.
UACGUAGGGGGCAAGCGUUGUCCGGAAUUAUUGGGCGUAAAGAGCGCGUAGGUGGUCCGGUAAGUCGGCUGUGAAAGUCAAGGGCUCAACCCUUGAAAGCCGGCCGAUACUGUCGGACUAGAGUCCGGAAGAGGCGAGUGGAAUUCCCGGUGUAGCGGUGAAAUGCGCAGAUAUCAGGAGGAACACCGGUGGCGAAGGCGGUUCUCUGGGAAUAUCCUGACGCUGAGGAGCGAAAGUGUGGGGAGCGAACAGG